Molecule: ribosomal RNA, 498 nt
Filed under: uncultured bacterium
Lineage: Bacteria
Description: partial 16S ribosomal RNA
Rfam family: Bacterial small subunit ribosomal RNA
Source: RNAcentral
AUUGAACGCUGGCGGCAUGCUUUACACAUGCAAGUCGAACGGUAACAGGCCGCAAGGUGCUGACGAGUGGCGAACGGGUGAGUAAUGCAUCGGAACGUGCCCAGUCGUGGGGGAUAACGCAGCGAAAGCUGUGCUAAUACCGCAUACGAUCUAUGGAUGAAAGCGGGGGACCGUAAGGCCUCGCGCGAUUGGAGCGGCCGAUGUCAGAUUAGGUAGUUGGUGGGGUAAAGGCUCACCAAGCCAACGAUCUGUAGCUGGUCUGAGAGGACGACCAGCCACACUGGGACUGAGACACGGCCCAGACUCCUACGGGAGGCAGCAGUGGGGAAUGUUGGACAAUGGGCGCAAGCCUGAUCCAGCAAUGCCGCGUGCAGGAAGAAGGCCUUCGGGUUGUAAACUGCUUUUGUACGGAACGAAAAGGCGAGCUCUAAUACAGUUUGCUAAUGACGGUACCGUAAGAAUAAGCACCGGCUAACUACGUGCCAGCCGCCGCGGUAA